RNAcentral lists this ribosomal RNA (659 nucleotides) under uncultured bacterium. RNAcentral describes it as "bacterial SSU rRNA". It matches the Rfam family "Bacterial small subunit ribosomal RNA", at positions 60 to 710 of the family's 1533-position model. The record is from RNAcentral.
AGUCGAGCGGUAGCACAGAGAGCUUGCUCUCGGGUGACGAGCGGCGGACGGGUGAGUAAUGUCUGGGAAACUGCCUGAUGGAGGGGGGUAACUACUGGAAACGGUAGCUAAUACCGCAUAACGUCGCGAGACCAAAGUGGGGGACCUUCGGGCCUCAUGCCAUCAGAUGUGCCCAGAUGGGAUUAGCUUGUAGGUGAGGUAACGGCUCACCUAGGCGACGAUCCCUAGCUGGUCUGAGAGGAUGACCAGCCACACUGGAACUGAGACACGGUCCAGACUCCUACGGGAGGCAGCAGUGGGGAAUAUUGCACAAUGGGCGCAAGCCUGAUGCAGCCAUGCCGCGUGUAUGAAGAAGGCCUUCGGGUUGUAAAGUACUUUCAGCGAGGAGGAAGGCGAUAAGGUUAAUAACCUUGUCGAUUGACGUUACUCGCAGAAGAAGCACCGGCUAACUCCGUGCCAGCAGCCGCGGUAAUACGGAGGGUGCAAGCGUUAAUCGGAAUUACUGGGCGUAAAGCGCACGCAGGCGGUCUGUCAAGUCGGAUGUGAAAUCCCCGGGCUCAACCUGGGAACUGCAUCCGAAACUGGCAGGCUAGAGUCUUGUAGAGGGGGGUAGAAUUCCAGGUGUAGCGGUGAAAUGCGUAGAGAUCUGGAGGAAUACC